This 497-nucleotide ribosomal RNA is filed under the name uncultured bacterium. RNAcentral's name for it is "partial 16S ribosomal RNA". It matches the Rfam family "Bacterial small subunit ribosomal RNA", at positions 28 to 507 of the family's 1533-position model. The record is from RNAcentral.
GAUGAACGCUGGCGGCGUGCCUAAUACAUGCCAGUCGAGCGAACGGACGAGAAGCUUGCUUCUCUGAUGUUAGCGGCGGACGGGUGAGUAACACGUGGAUAACCUACCUAUAAGACUGGGAUAACUUCGGGAAACCGGAGCUAAUACCGGAUGAUAUUUUGAACCGCAUGGUUCAAAAGUGAAAGACGGUCUUGCUGUCACUUAUAGAUGGAUCCGCGCUGCAUUAGCUAGUUGGUAAGGUAACGGCUUACCGAGGCAACGAUGCAUAGCCGACCUGAGAGGGUGAUCGGCCACACUGGAACUGAGACACGGUCCAGACUCCUACGGGAGGCAGCAGUAGGGAAUCUUCCGCAAUGGGCGAAAGCCUGACGGAGCAACGCCGCGUGAGUGAUGAAGGUCUUCGGAUCGUAAAACUCUGUUAUUAGGGAAGAACAUAUGUGUAAGUAACUGUGCACAUCUUGACGGUACCUAAUCAGAAAGCCACGGCUAACUACGUG